RNAcentral lists this non-coding RNA (62 nucleotides) under Klebsiella pneumoniae. RNAcentral also lists the same sequence under 3 other names. Lineage: Bacteria; Pseudomonadati; Pseudomonadota; Gammaproteobacteria; Enterobacterales; Enterobacteriaceae. The record is from RNAcentral.
CAGUACGACAUUGCUCACAUUGCUUCCAGUAUUUUUGCCCGCACUUGUGCGGGCUUUUUUUU